Molecule: long non-coding RNA, 102 nt
Organism: Ipomoea nil (Japanese morning glory)
Lineage: Eukaryota; Viridiplantae; Streptophyta; Magnoliopsida; Solanales; Convolvulaceae
Exons: 3
Source: RefSeq, a predicted model, not a curated record
UACCAAUAAUUAUUUACCAACAUUUGGGAAAUAAAGUUCCCUGGUUGGCUGUUUAUAUGAAACAAAUAAAAAAGUCAAUAACCAUGUCAUAAAGCAACAUUA